AUUAUAGUUAUGAAAUAUUAUUCAAGUUAUUUUAUAUCUGGUUCUCUAAAAAAUUUAAUUGGUUGUAGGAUUAUUAGGUCAGUAAGUAGGGAUUAGCUUGUUUAUUGUUUAUAUGCGUUUAUGGGGUGGGUUUGUUUGUGAAGUUGAUAGUGCUUUUUUUUAAGGAGUUAUUAUAAAACAGGUUUUUUAUAUUAUUAUUUUAGGGUUGUGUAAUUAUUAGAGUUAGUUAAUUAAUUUUUUCUUUUGUGAAAUAAUGAUUAUAUUAGUAAUAUUUUAUUUAGUUUUAUGAGUGCAUUUAGAGUGGAUUGAUAAUUAAAAUAAUUUUUAAUUGAGGUAGAUGAAUUCGGCAAGGUUAAUUUUUGACUGUUUAGCAAAAACAUUGUUUUUUGUAGGAGUAAAAAAUAAGUUCUGUCCACUGCUAUUAGGUGAAGGGCUGCAGUAUUUUGACUGUAUGAAGGUAGCAUAAUCAUUAGCUUUUUAAUUGGGGGCUGGUAUGAAGGUGAAACAGGGAUUGUCUGUGUUUGCUUUAUUAGUUGAAUUUUAUUUCUGUGUGAAAAAUCAUAGUUAAAUUAGAGGGACAAGAAGACCCUAAUAAGUUUUAUUUUUUUACUUGAUGAUGAUAUAGGUGUAUAUUUAUUUGAUUGGGGUAGAGGAGUUUAGCUGGGGCGGCUAUUCAUUAAACACGAAUAAUUUUUUAACUCUAUUUG
This 707-nucleotide ribosomal RNA is filed under the name Nannaria sp. n. 4401. Its description in RNAcentral is "partial large subunit ribosomal RNA". Lineage: Eukaryota; Metazoa; Arthropoda; Diplopoda; Polydesmida; Xystodesmidae. The record is from RNAcentral.